AUGGGGUCGCAAAGAGUCAGACACGACUGAGCGACUUCACUUUUCACUUAUUUCUUAAAAAAAAAAAAAGUAAUCGGAGUAUAGUAGCUUUACAAUGUUGUAGUAGUUUCUGCUGCACAGUGAGGUAUCCCCCUCCCACUUAGGUCACCACCGAGCGCUACGGUAGCAUUCCCUGUGCGAUACGGUAGGCUCUCCUUAGUUAUCUACUUUAUACGUAGUAUCAGUAGUAUCUCUGUGUCAGCCCCAGUCUCCCAAUUCAUCCCAUGCCUCCGCUUUCCCCACUGGCAUCCGUCGGUUUGUUCUCUACAUCUGUGACUCUCUAUCUACUUUGUAAAUGAGAUUGUUUAUACCAGCUUUUUCAGAUUCUACACAUUCACGUUAAUACACGGUGUUUGUUUUUCUCUUAUAGAAGCCCUGAUAGAGCCUCUUAUCAGAAGGAGGUCUGAAAGUGUUAGUCAUUCAGGCUUGUCCGACUCUUUGCAAUCCCAUAGCCAGACUCCUCUGUCCUUGGAAUUCUCCAGGCAAGAAUACUGGAAUGUGAUUCACAAAUACAAAGGAAACAGAUCUCCUAGGAAAUGGUGGAGCUGGGGCCUCAAACGUGUCUUUCUCUACUGAUUCUGCUGUGCACAGAGGUCACGGAGCAGCCCAGAAGUAUGGUCUGCCCUGCCAUCUCUUUUCCCUGACAGCUGCUUGAUUUUGUUCUCUGGGCCAGGGGAGACCUGGCUGAGGCCCAGUGAACAAGUAGCCAGGAUCCCCUCACGUCAUUAUGACCGAACACUUCCCCACAAGGUAUAUCCUGGCAUCCCCUCCCCCUAGGCUCACUGUUGAAAAUCAGUCUAGAAACGGCCCCUCCCCUGUGGACCUUGAUACCUGGGACUCUUGAUACCGGGAAAUUCCGAAGGGGCAGGAAGCAGGUGAGCAGGUGAGUGAAAUAUGCAGGCGCGUGGGCCAGUGCAUUCUUGGGCUCCAGGUCAGGCUGGUUUCAGCUCCCUCAAGACAAAGGGGUCAGCCAGCAGGUCUCGGGAGGGGUUGGAUACACAGGGGGCCUGACUGGGCAGGCUGGCCUGGGUGGGGGCGGCUUCUCUGGGAGGAGAAAGACAACUCAGAGGCCAGUGAGUGAGGAUUGUUAUCAGCUGGUCGGGCAGGACAGCUGUUACCAUCAGCUUGCCCCGUGACCUUGGGCGAGCCACUUCUUUCUGUGAACAGUGGGUUUGCUCUGGCCCGCUCUGAGGAAAUCCAAGGACAUCUUUAGCAGGUGGGUUGAGCUGGGCCAAGUGCCACCGUGGCAUAUCUUGGCAGCCUGCUGGCUAGAGGGGGGCGACCUCAGCCGCAUGAGACCCAGGUGCCUCAGCCGGAAGACCCUCUGCCAUCCAUACACGCUGCCGGAGGGGGCUGCCCUCGUAGGCUUUGGGGAGACCGGAGGGUGUCCUCACUUCAUCAGGGGAAAGAUACGGUUGGACGCGUCACCCCUGAGGCUGGGCCCUCGCCUUAGGCAUUCUACCUUGUGCUUUUAGCACAGGCUAUUCUGCCAUCUGGAUACCUUCCCCACCUCUUCCCAGUCCCGCAAGACUCUGUCAAACCUGCUUCUCCCGUUAUGCCUUCUGUGGUUACCGAAGGGCCUCUCCAGGCUUGAGCUACAAUUAAAUUUUAUGUACUUGUCAA
Long non-coding RNA from Bubalus bubalis (water buffalo), 1662 nucleotides. RefSeq lists it as uncharacterized. The transcript has 2 exons. The record is from RefSeq and is a predicted model, not a curated record. Lineage: Eukaryota; Metazoa; Chordata; Mammalia; Artiodactyla; Bovidae.